GUCGAACGGAAAGGCCCUGCUUUUGUGGGGUGCUCGAGUGGCGAACGGGUGAGUAACACGUGAGUAACCUGCCCUUGACUUUGGGAUAACUUCAGGAAACUGGGGCUAAUACCGGAUAGGAGCUCCUGCUGCAUGGUGGGGGUUGGAAAGUUUCGGCGGUUGGGGAUGGACUCGCGGCUUAUCAGCUUGUUGGUGGGGUAGUGGCUUACCAAGGCUUUGACGGGUAGCCGGCCUGAGAGGGUGACCGGCCACAUUGGGACUGAGAUACGGCCCAGACUCCUACGGGAGGCAGCAGUGGGGAAUAUUGCACAAUGGGCGGAAGCCUGAUGCAGCAACGCCGCGUGCGGGAUGACGGCCUUCGGGUUGUAAACCGCUUUCGCCUGUGACGAAGCGUGAGUGACGGUAAUGGGUAAAGAAGCACCGGCUAACUACGUGCCAGCAGCCGCGGUGAUACGUA
RNAcentral lists this ribosomal RNA (457 nucleotides) under uncultured Propionibacterium sp. RNAcentral describes it as "bacterial SSU rRNA". It matches the Rfam family "Bacterial small subunit ribosomal RNA", at positions 61 to 529 of the family's 1533-position model. Lineage: Bacteria; Bacillati; Actinomycetota; Actinomycetes; Propionibacteriales; Propionibacteriaceae. The record is from RNAcentral.